UACGUAGGUUGCGAGCGUUAAUCGGAAUUACUGGGCGUAAAGCGUGCGCAGGCGGUUUUGUAAGCCAGCUUUGAAAUCCCCGGGCUUAACCUGGGAAUGGCAUUUGGGACUGCAAGGCUGGAGUGCGGCAGAGGAGACUGGAAUUCCUGGUGUAGCAGUGAAAUGCGUAGAUAUCAGGAGGAACACCGAUGGCGAAGGCAGGUCUCUGGGCUGACACUGACGCUCAUGCACGAAAGCGUGGGGAGCAAACAGG
This 253-nucleotide ribosomal RNA is filed under the name uncultured bacterium. Its description in RNAcentral is "partial 16S ribosomal RNA". It matches the Rfam family "Bacterial small subunit ribosomal RNA", at positions 524 to 776 of the family's 1533-position model. The record is from RNAcentral.